GGGCUAGUACUGGUUUCGACGGGGCAUUUGCAGCUGGAGAAGCGAGCCGCAUGCGAUGCGUUAAAUGGCACAAUUAAAAUUAAACGCUGAAGAUAAUAAUUUAGCAUUCGCUGCCUAAUUUGGCAGCAGUCUGACUUAGCGCACCUACACGUUAAGACCCAGGCUUCGACUAUGUAGGAAACGACACAAGCUAAGCUUUGCGUUUGUGGGCGUAUCAUGAAGCUACUUAAGCCGUUAGGGUGUUAGUUCUCGCACGGUGGAGGGAAUGUCAAAGAACUGACUACACUCGUAGAAGUACAGGGAAUCUUGCUUCGGACAUGGGUUCGACUCCCAUCUAGUCCAUUG
Molecule: transfer-messenger RNA, 345 nt
Filed under: Lachnospiraceae
Lineage: Bacteria; Bacillati; Bacillota; Clostridia; Lachnospirales
Also listed under: 1 other name
Description: Lachnobacterium sp900113385 Standard tmRNA
Rfam family: transfer-messenger RNA
About the family: Bacterial tmRNA, also known as 10Sa RNA or SsrA, is named for its dual tRNA and mRNA-like properties. Its role is to liberate the mRNA from a stalled ribosome. To accomplish this part of the tmRNA is used as a reading frame that ends in a translation stop signal.
Source: RNAcentral